Molecule: ribosomal RNA, 253 nt
Filed under: uncultured bacterium
Lineage: Bacteria
Description: partial 16S ribosomal RNA
Rfam family: Bacterial small subunit ribosomal RNA
Source: RNAcentral
UACGGAGGGGGCGAGCGUUAUUCGGAAUUACUGGGCGUAAAGCGUGCGUAGGCGGUUAUUUAAGUCGGAUGUGAAAGCCCCGGGCUCAACCUGGGAAUUGCAUUCGAGACUGAAUAGCUAGGGUACGGUAGAGGGAAGCGGAAUUUCCGGUGUAGCGGUGAAAUGCGUAGAUAUCGGAAGGAACAUCAGUGGCGAAAGCGGCUUCCUGGACCAGUACCGACGUUCAGGCACGAAAGCGUGGGGAGCAAACAGG